GUAUCAGAAAAGAGCACAUUUUUAACUCCGUGUGUGUAUAUGUAGCAGAACAAAUGAAUGAUUCGUUAUUACUCGACUCCUACGUAACGUCAUUUCAAAAGCGUAGGAAUUCGAGUCGAUGAAAAGAGAAAAUAAAACCAAAUUAAUGUAGGUGGCGGUAUGUGCUCAUGGCUCCAUUCAGCCAUUCGAUCGAAGAAGAAGAAGAACGACAGCUCAAACCAACGUAGUUAGAACGAUGGAGCUGCGACACAGGUGUCAGUUUUCACCGGGCUGGAGUCAAAUAAGGGCGUGGUUAUAAGGUCACCGUAGCCACCAGAUCCAGUCUGUAUCCAGAUCAGAUGGUCACUGCAGUCACCCGGAUCCAGUAGGUAUCCAGACCAGAUGGUGGAUCAGCACCUAGAAAGGACCUCUACAGCCUUGAAAGGAGAGAAGCUU
Cyprinus carpio (common carp) is the source of this 435-nucleotide long non-coding RNA. The record is from Ensembl. NCBI's taxonomy places the organism in Eukaryota, Metazoa, Chordata, Actinopteri, Cypriniformes, Cyprinidae.